CAGCAGCCGCGGUAAUACAGAGGGUGCAAGCGUUAAUCGGAUUUACUGGGCGUAAAGGGCGCGUAGGUGGUUAUUUAAGUGAGAUGUGAAAUCCCCGGGCUUAACCUGGGAACUGCAUCUUAUACUGGGUAACUGGAGUGCAAUAGAGGGUAGUGGAAUUUCCGGUGUAGCGGUGAAAUGCGUAGAUAUCGGAAGGAACACCAGUGGCGAAGGCGGCUACCUGGAUUGACACUGACACUGAGGCGCGAGAGCGUGGGGAGCAAACAGGAUUAGAUACCCCAGUAGUCCCUGUCUCUUAUAC
This 301-nucleotide ribosomal RNA is filed under the name uncultured bacterium. RNAcentral's name for it is "partial 16S ribosomal RNA". It matches the Rfam family "Bacterial small subunit ribosomal RNA", at positions 509 to 807 of the family's 1533-position model. The record is from RNAcentral.